UAAACUGCCCACACACUUGCUGAUAAAAAUAGAGUCAAAUUGAUAAUAAUUUCAUAAUCUGAUUAAGAAAAAGAAGACAAUUACAUAGCGGAUAAGAAAAUAAUAAACAACUUUCACUGAAAAUAGUUGUCAAACAAGAGCAUGCAGCAUAUUCCAGGCACUUCACCAGCAGUUCCUUGCAGGACCAGACCUAUGAUAUCUUUGAUUGAUGUGCUUAAAAAGCAA
RNAcentral lists this unclassified non-coding RNA (225 nucleotides) under Hevea brasiliensis (rubber tree). Lineage: Eukaryota; Viridiplantae; Streptophyta; Magnoliopsida; Malpighiales; Euphorbiaceae. The record is from RNAcentral.